RNAcentral lists this ribosomal RNA (524 nucleotides) under uncultured bacterium. RNAcentral's name for it is "bacterial SSU rRNA". It matches the Rfam family "Bacterial small subunit ribosomal RNA", at positions 50 to 617 of the family's 1533-position model. The record is from RNAcentral.
AACACAUGCAAGUCGAACGAGUAGGGAACAGCUNGCUGUUCUGCGCGAGUGGCGGACGGGUGAGUAAUGUCUGGGAAACUGCCUGAUGGAGGGGGAUAACUACUGGAAACGGUAGCUAAUACCGCAUACGUCGCACCUCUUGCCAUCGGAUGUGCCCAGAUGGGAUUAGCUUGUUGGUGGGGUAACGGCUCACCAAGGCGACGAUCCCUAGCUGGUCUGAGAGGAUGACCAGCCACACUGGAACUGAGACACGGUCCAGACUCCUACGGGAGGCAGCAGUGGGGAAUAUUGCACAAUGGACGAAAGUCUGAUGCAGCAACGCCGCGUGGAGGAUGACACAUUUCGGUGCGUAAACUCCUUUUAUAUGAGAAGAUAAUGACGGUAUCAUAUGAAUAAGCACCGGCUAACUUCGUGCCAGCAGCCGCGGUAAUACGAGGGGUGCAAGCGUUACUCGGAAUCACUGGGCGUAAAGAGCAUGUAGGCUGGUAGUUAAGUUGGAAGUGAAAUCCUAUGGCUCAACCAUA